This is a long non-coding RNA of Phyllopteryx taeniolatus (common seadragon), 1568 nucleotides long. RefSeq lists it as uncharacterized. The record is from RefSeq and is a predicted model, not a curated record. The transcript has 4 exons. NCBI's taxonomy places the organism in Eukaryota, Metazoa, Chordata, Actinopteri, Syngnathiformes, Syngnathidae.
CGACCCUUGUGAGGAUAAGCGGCUCAGAUAAUGGAUUGAUGGAUAACCCACAAUUCCUUGCGCGGCGUGCUGGCUGAGCUAGCAAAACAAUCCAUUCGUGUUCAGUUACCUUGUGCUCCACCGUGUGUUGCAUUACGCAAAAACUUUAUGAAAAUGACCACACCGCUCACAAAUACCACAGGGUCGCGGGGCACUGGAGCCUAUCCCAGCUGACUUCGGGUGAAAGGCGGACUUCACCCUGAACUGGUCGCCAGUCAGUCGCAGAUGGCCAGCUGUGAUCAGUGAGCCCUAUAAGGAGAUGGGGCUUCAUGGAGAACACACCUCAUCCACCUGCUGAGAAAUUGCAGGCGCAGACAAUAAAGUGGUGCACAGCAUGAAGGAAAAAAAAAACAUUUGGAUGUGCCAAGUGUGAUUGUUUCAACUAAUAGGCAUCAACAGGCCAACUUCUCCCAGUUACCAUACAGGUGAACUCAUUCCUGGGAAAAUGUUUUUCUCUUUCUCAGCCUUGUAGGCGCGAUGGCGUCCCCCUUUUUCCUUGCUCUAACGGGAUUAGUCGUGCCAGUGCUACCCCGGCUGUCACGGUACUGUCUACUUCCCAUCUCUCUUCUGGGCCUCUAAUGUGAUUAACCCAUUCCCUGUGGUCCAAAUGGUUCUGAAGUGGGGGGAGCGGGGGGCACCUCCUUGGCAUGUUCGCCAUGAUGCCCAACUCGCAGUCAUUGGCACCUUUUGUCAGGGAGGAAGGACAGGUCAACUUAGUGCUAAGUCACAAGGAAGGGAAUUCUUUCUCUCUUCUAACACUGAUCAUUUUUAAACAAAUACCUAACCACAUGUUUAACAUUAGACUGACUAACAUAUGGAUGUUUUCAUGCAUGUAAAAGCAUCUUCUCGUCUACCUAUUCAUUCAUACACCUUCAUGGAAAUCUCCAAAGGCAUGUUUGUACGGUGGACUCAACAGUGAAGUUUAACUGCUCGCUUAGACAAUAAUAAUUGCCGACGCCCAUCACCUUGUCAAACGUCAGUGUCGCGGGGGCUUCGCCUGUUUAACACGCGUCACGCUCAUUUUCCACUCAAGUCGUCUUAGGGGCACUAUUGCAAGCAGAGAACCACAUGCCCUUUGCCACUCCUCACAGGGAGCGCUCUCGCCGCCACAGGGCUACAUCCAGAAAUCACCUUGACAUUGACAAACACUUGUCACUUCGUGUUAUUUUUUAUGGAGUGGGAUGUAGUGCAGCUUCUCUGUGAAAUAAGUAGUAGGAAAUUUGAGGGCUGAUUAUUGUUCAGCGGACACCUGUUUGCAAGGCCGGUAAGGAAAUAUGUCUUCGUGUAAUGCUGGAAAAAAAAAAAGUGUGUUUUUGUAGUGGUAUACUAACUUGCCUAAUAGGAAAGACAUGUCAUUGACACUGUAGUUUUGUUGCACAUAGGGUUCCCCCAACUUCUGGAAAUUCUUGAACAUUUGAAUGUCAUUUCAAGUUUAUGGAUCAAAAAUUGCUUGUAUUUUAGAUAAAAUGCUUCAACAUGAGGACACUUUUUGCUUGUUUUGUGGAGAAAUAAACAGAUUUCCUACCUAA